UCCCUGAUAGCUCAGACAGUAAAGAAUCUGCCUGCAAUGCAGGAGAUCCAGGUUCGAUCUCUGGGUCAGGAAG
Molecule: non-coding RNA, 73 nt
Organism: Bos taurus (domestic cattle)
Lineage: Eukaryota; Metazoa; Chordata; Mammalia; Artiodactyla; Bovidae
Source: Rfam